This 492-nucleotide ribosomal RNA is filed under the name uncultured bacterium. RNAcentral's name for it is "partial 16S ribosomal RNA". It matches the Rfam family "Bacterial small subunit ribosomal RNA", at positions 29 to 507 of the family's 1533-position model. The record is from RNAcentral.
AGUGAACGCUGGCGGUAGGCCUAACACAUGCAAGUCGAACGGCAGCACAGUAAGAGCUUGCUCUUACGGGUGGCGAGUGGCGGACGGGUGAGGAAUACAUCGGAAUCUACUUUUUCGUGGGGGAUAACGUAGGGAAACUUACGCUAAUACCGCAUACGACCUACGGGUGAAAGCAGGGGAUCUUCGGACCUUGCGCGAUUGAAUGAGCCGAUGUCGGAUUAGCUAGUUGGCGGGGUAAAGGCCCACCAAGGCGACGAUCCGUAGCUGGUCUGAGAGGAUGAUCAGCCGCACUGGAACUGAGACACGGUCCAGACUCCUACGGGAGGCAGCAGUGGGGAAUAUUGGACAAUGGGCGCAAGCCUGAUCCAGCCAUACCGCGUGGGUGAAGAAGGCCUUCGGGUUGUAAAGCCCUUUUGUUGGGAAAGAAAAGCAGCAGGUUAAUACCCCGCUGUUAUGACGGUACCCAAAGAAUAAGCACCGGCUAACUUCGUG